UUUUUUUUUUUUUGAGUGUCCUCCCUCAAGGAAUUACACCAUUCCUCUAGUGUUGUGAAAAUUCUAAUUACCCUUUCCAUAAAGGUGAGGCUUUGGGAAAAAGUGAUCCAAGGUAAGGGGCAAAAGGGGGAAAAUGUGUGUGGACAUACAAAUUUGAGUAUGGGGUUUUCUUUCUUUAGCAAUUAUGGCAAGAGAGAAAAGAUAGAGAAAGAGUAGGUCCAACCCUCCUCUCAACUCCAUCUUACCAUCAUGAAACCUAAUACAAUACCACUUUAUAUAACCCCAUUGAAAGUCCUUUGAUCAAUUAGAAUAAAAUUGACCCUCUUUUUAUUUUGUUUAUUUCUUGGGCUACAAGUGUGAUGUCAUUUAGAGAAGAGCCACAUGGCAUAACAUUUAUAAAUUCAAAAUUUUACAUUGCUUGUAUUCUUGAUCUAGAGAAUUUUGGUCAUUCUCAUAAUGAGCAAAUCUAGGAACAUGUGACAUGUUAUUUUAUCAAAAUUAUUUUCAACAAUCAAUACCCUAAAUUCAACAUCACAAGAACUUUAGUAUUUACAAAAAUUUAUGUAGACAAACAUGGGACAAUGAAUGACCCAUAAUUCAAUCAAUGUCCCAAAUUCAAUUUUAGAGGGGAUCAUGAAAUGUGAGAGACUCAAUGAUGACUCAAGGAAAUGUAGCUUUCAACAUGGGUCAAUUAUCCGUGUCAACCCCACCAAGGGAAGACUAAAAUUUUUUGGUGACAUUUCAUAAGUUCACAAAGCCAAUGAUUAAUAUUUUGUCAUUCUCCGGAAUUGAAGGGACUUUCCCUUUGGUGGAAGAUGAGUUCAAAGUUCAAUCCACACAAGUCAAUCCAAGGAGAAAUGGCCAUAAAGGGAGCAAACCCUAAUUCUAAAAAGACGUCUCUAUGUGUUCAGAAAGAGUAGGUGAGCAUUACAAGGAUUUGAGCAACCAAACUCUGAUAUAGACAUUAACAAUAAAACCAUCUGAACUGGUAGGAUCGGAUAGGAUGGUUUAAUAAAAAAGCAAAGUUGGGAGCUUUAAUUUUGUUUUUAAUUAUUUUUUUUAUUGAGCGUGAACAUUUAUAUAAUAUUGAAUGCUUGACACUUGACCGUUUCUUGAUCCUCUAAAUAAAAUAACAAAUCCUUGAUAACUCAAUCCUUAUUUUUUAACAUUUUAAACCAUGGUGGCUUGAUCCAAAUUUAGUAAUAUGAAAAUCUUAUGCUACCAUUGGUGACAACAUCGAUGCUAGCUGACUUUUUUUUUUUUUUUUUUGAAAAAAUCUCAACCUAACCCUUUGGUACUUCAGAGGACAAACAUUCUCAUAGCUGCCUUCUGACGUUUAGCUAAUGAUCAUAUGUUUAGUGAAAUUAAUUGGUCAACGAGGGUAAAACUUUAGUAUGAACCUGUCAAAAACAAAAAAAAACCAAAAAAGGUUCUUCACGUUUCUUUUUCAGUUUUGACAUUGAAUUGGAAUUUAAUUAUAAAAGACUGUUGACGCGUAGAAAGAUUAGUAUUAUUUUUAAACAAUUAAAAAGAUAGCUCAUGUCAUAAGACUGAAAUUGCACCGAUUCGUGACAUUUUGGGCACGGAGUCGUGUUUCAAUUCCACACGGCUAGGCAAGAAAUCAACUUCAACCCACCAAUUGGGUUACAGCAUUACUCAGCUAAUCAUAGCAUAAUAUAAUAAUAAUAAUUUAAAGGGAACGCCCAGAAACAUUUUCGUGAAACACAUCUACAAGUAAAUGUACGUGGUAUGCAGACUUGGAGAAUUGGUUAUAUGAAAGGAAAAUUAAAAAAAAAAAAAAAAAGGGAAAAUGGUCAACGUCUGUGGUGGAAUUUAGUGAGUUUUGGGUUGACUAAUUGACAAAAAACAUAUGAGCCAUAGGAGACACUCGUUUGCACGCCGACCCCCGAGUCAACCCAUGGCCACACACAUACUCGUGUGUCGUCUUCGUCUUUCUUUGCAUUAUUAUUAUUAUUAUUAUUAUUUUAUUAUUUUUUUCAUUGAAUUAUAAUUGUGAUUAUUUGUAUGGGCCAUUUCCACGUGCCACGUGAUCCGUGGUACUCUAGUGGGUCACCACUUUGUAGGGACCCGGUCCUAUUUUGUCAUCUUCUACACCUCAAGCUGACCUCAAUGUGACAUCACUAAAUAUUAUUUGUAAGCAUUUGUUUAAACCUUAUACUCCAUGGUAUAAUUGGAAACAAGAAAAUGAUUUUAGCUCUAUUUUACAAGAAUAUAAUUUCUUAAAAUUAAGUGGGAGAACACGUGUGGAAUUUGGGUGAUCCAGUGAAAACGUGUGCAAGUGGGGGUAAUCAAUAACUAAAAAAACAAAAAACAUGUAUAUACUAAUUUGGAUAUUGAUUAAGACUAAGAUUGAUGAACAACUCAAUUAAGUUUGGUGGGAGUCAUGGGGUAUGACGUAAGGGUAUUGAGGGCCAAAAUGGUGAAUUUGGGAAGAGAGAGAACAUUCCACAGAGCAUAAGAAGACAAGUAGAAAAUCCAAAGGAGUGGAUGGGUGUCACCUAAUGAAAUACCCUUUUGCAUCAACUGGAAAGCGACCGCUGUGUCUUACCUCUCUUUUGGGUUCUGAGGUCAAUCCCUCUCCCUCUACCUCUACCUCUCCCUCAAGUUCUCAACCUUUCUCACACGCGCUCUCCUUCACAUAUUCACAUAAUUUGAAAGGGAUCAAUAGAUCUGAUUGGACAACUGGAAAAUUGGAGGUUAAAUUUUGAGGAAGGAUGGCUGAGAAAAAUGAGAAAGGGCAAUGAUGGGGAUGUAGAAAGAGGUCACAAUCUGGGUUUGACUCUUUGGCCCCAGGUGUCGUGGCACGCGAGCGCAUGCCUCUUCGGUCCCACGUUGACUCAUUACCAUUCGCUCUCCUCGCAAGCAUCACGUCGCAUCUUUUGUAUAUACACACCAAAAUGUAGAAUGUAGAAUUGAAUCAGAAAGAAUUAUACUUAUUGGGCGGAUCAUCAUCAUCAUCAUCAUCCUCGACGUAUUUACAUAUUUGGACAGCUGAUAUCCACAUUGGGAAAUAAUGUUGCCUGUAUGGAAAAGGAUGGCUGGCUUUAAUUGUCCAUGAUGAAGGUUUUCUUCAUGGUUGUGGGCUGUGGGUGUGAACCCUCGCAAUGCCGUCAAGUAAUGGUGGUGGUCCAUAGGUUUGAUGACAGGAAGAAAAUUAAAUCACAUGUGAACCUUCAUACGAACAAGAAAUUGAAACAAUGGCAUAAUUCUUCAAUGAGCCGAAUCGACAACCAAGAGGCAUCAGUGUCAAGUGAGCUUGCAGCAAUGAAUGUGGCGACUCCGCCGCGCCCCCCCCUUUCAAACUCCUAACUUCGUCCCCUUGUUUCUGAAUAAUCAACUCUUACAUGAUGAGUAGAGUUUAUGUGAACAUCAUCGAAUGUUUGUGGUUGUUUUCACAAAGGUGAUAAUUCGGUUCACAACAUACGAACCCAAUUAGGAAUUUUCCUACGCUUUUUGGCGACAAACGAGCACCAAAUUGUUGGGUCAACUGUGCGGUUUCGCUAGACUACAACUAAGUUAAAAAUCUUCUUCUUCCCAUUCAUUGCCUCCUAACAUGUUAAGUGCAAAUGCUAAAAUUCAUUCAUGGAUGGAGUGGACUCCAUCUCAGUGGUACGUGCAGAACAAGCAUGAAAAAAUGGGCUUAUCUUUCAAUGGAGCAGAAGCUUUUUCUUAAGCCAAUUCCAAUCAUUUGUCUAUUCCAGAACCGUAUUGGUAUACUGAAGCUUCCAUUCUUGUGCAAGUGCUUUCUAACAUUGAAUGUGUGGUGUGGCCAUUGUGAACUAUUAUUCUGAUUUAAUCCCAAUGGGAGGUGCUAUAUGGAGAAUGCGUGCUCUUAGCACUAUUAGAAACUUGAGAAAGGGCAUAUGGAUUUUGGGUGCCUAAUUAACUUUCUACCUAGGCCAUGUGGAUUGUGGCACGAUUCAAUCCAACCUUGUAAAUAUCCACAUGAACGAAAAGGCAUAACAACCUAAAUUUCAAUUUUCUUGGCAACUGUGAAGGCUUUUCUCCUAUGUUAUAAGGACAUGUUUGCUAUGGUAGAAAUCAAAAGUAUCUCUCUUUCAAUUCUUUUGUUAACUUGAACUUUGAAAUAAAAAAAAAUAUCUAUGUUUCAUCAUAACAUGAGGGUACUCAUUCCUCAAAUUUGGGAAACCCAUUAGCCCCAGUUUUGGGUUUUUCAUUUUGUAGAUAGAUUGCUUACUUUGUCUCAAAUCUAUUUCAUCAAAUAAGGUUUAAGAGUUUGUUUCAUCGUAUAAUUUAAAAAUAAAUUUUUAUUUUUAAAAAUAAAAUAAAAUAAAGAAUAAUUUUUAGAUAAUAUGUAGAAAUUGUUUUUACCAAUUUUUUUUAUUUUUAAAUAUGAGUCCAUUUGAUCAUAUUUUGUUAAAUUUAUUUUUAAAAAUUGUUUUUAAAUUAAACAAUAAAAAAUAUAUUUUUAAAAAAUAGAAAAAAUGACUAAACGGACCUAAGAAAUGAAAUUUUUUUUCUUCAUCCAUUCAUUUAAGAUAUCUUUUGUUUUUUUUAUAUAAAUAUCUAUAAUAAUAAAUGUAAUUUUUUUUAAUAUGAGGAAAUUAUAAUAAAAUUACAUAUUUCAUUCCAAUAAAACUUUUGAUUUUGAUUUUUUUAUUCUCUUUCUUAAGAAAUUUAACUAGUGGUAUCUUCAAAGAGUUUGUGAUGAAUACCAUCUACUUUGUCAAAUUAUAAUGUUGUCCUUCCACAAAACAAAUCAUGAAUUUUUGAAGUGGUCAUUUAUGGAAAUGAUUUUAUUUUCUAAAAAUAUUGUGAAUUUGUGAAAUGUUUUUUAUCCCCUAUUUUAAAAUAAUACCUAAAGAUAUUAUUUAAAAAAAAGGAAGAAAGAAAAAGGGUUGCAUCACUAGCUUGUGGUACAAAAUUGUAGAAGGAAAGAAAGAUGGGGUGGUGAGAUAAGGUUGGGGAAUACCUUGGGAAUUUACCACAGACUUGCACUUGUGUUAGCUACUUCCCUCCUCUCACCUUCUACUAAUUCACAUGUCCUUCGAGUGACUCUCACGCGCAUUGACCUACUCUCUACGGUCUUCGAUUAUAAACUCUCCUAAUUAUCCAUUUCUUUAAUUAAUUAAUCGGCAUUAGUAAAUUAACCCUUUAUACAUAGAGGUACGCUAUUUCCAUGCAACUGUGACGUGGCAGCCAGAUCAAGAACCUUCAUCAUAUCACUUCGCUUUGUUCGUAAGGAACACGAAUGCUCACAAAUAAAUAAUAAAUAAAUAAAAGGUAAAGAGAACAAAGAAUUUCUAAAAUAAAAAAAAAAUAAAAAAAUGAAAUCAAAGAAAAAAAAGAAAAAGAGAAUUGGAUUCAAAAUGGGCUCUCAUUUGUCCAAUCAUCCCUUGAAAUGUCAACCUGAUUCCGGUAGUUUCCACCGUCCGUACCCUCAAACCGUUGUAUAUAUAAAUAAGACCCCAAGUCUUGAGCUGCUUUCUUAUAAACCUAACUCAAAGAUAGGGAUAGAGAAACGAGAAGAGGAAGAAGAAGAAGAAGGAGGAGGAGGAGAAAGAGAAAGGGAGAUUCCCAUAUAGAGAAAUCAAAGGUGUUGUAUCUUUGAGGUUUAACGAUGGCAGAUGAAUUUCAGACGGGGGUAUGCGGCGGAACAUGGUGGAAUCCGGCGAGGAACUCCUUCAUCGGAGGGCCAUCACCGUGCUCCACGGCGCUGAAUGAUACGGGAAGCUUUGGGUGGCCGACUGAGAUGGUGGACAUCAAGGCAAGGUCGUGUGAGGAGUCCGCUUCGGUUUCCGAUAGCUCCAUAGUUUUCCAAGAUAUUCAGAAACCCCAGCAGCCGGAUUCCGCCAGCGGCGGUGGCAGCAUGUUGAUGGAAUCGACUUUGCAAAUGAUGGGUUUUGGCCUUUCGUCAUCGUCGACGACAACGGAUUGGAAUCCAGCUUUGAUGUAAGCUUGGAGCUGCGCCUAACUGUUUUAAUUCCAUUUGGUGCAUAGCAGCCUAAUUAGUUAUGAUGAUUUACAACUAUUCUUUUUUGAAUUCGUUGAAAUUUAAAUCUCAAAAGUUCUAAGAGUCAAUACUUUGUGGACGGGCAAUGAAAAAAGUUAGAUAUUUGAGAUUUGUUUUUGGUCAACUUAAUCAAUUAAAUUCCUUUUACCAGAAAAAAAGCACUACAUAAUAUUUUGCUUACCAAUCGGUUUCUCUUAUGUUCUCUUUAUCUUUUUUGUUUUUUCCAGUCGUGGUAGCGGCAGAGCUGAGAGCAAUUAUCAUUCCAUGCUCCAAGAUGACAUGAGUUCGAGGUUGAAUGGGAUGGAUUCUCCUCAAAUUCAGAAGGAUUGGAGUCCGAAGAACUUUUCCACUGGCGGUGAAGAUUCAUCCAUAUGCGCGCUUAAGCCCAUGAAUCAGGGUUUUGCAUUAGACCAGCAGCGUUUAAAUUCUAUCAAUAGCUCCGGCGACAGUACAGUGACUUGCCAAGGCUUCUCUUCAGGCUUUCCCAUGGGUUCAGCUUCAUAUGGCUACCCUUCCACAUUGUUGCAAGGUUUAUAUGACCCUGAUCCUCAACCCCAGCAGUAUCUUUUUGAUAACCGGUCAAUGAACUAUUCAUCUAUGGCGAAUUACCGGACAAGCAUGAAUGAAUUAUCGCCUUCCUGGCCUAAAUACUCUCCCUACAUGAAACCCUCAUUGCCUAAGCAGCAACCUAAUAGUCAUUUGCACUUCACCAACAAUACACCCUUCUGGAAUGCCUCUGCGGCGGCUCUAAAUGAUAUCAGAGCGAGCUUUUUUCCUUCACCGCAGUCGCAGUUUCUCACACCAACAUUUGAAGAGAAGCCCAAUUGUUCCAAGCUCACCACAAAGGUAAAUAUAAUGAUAGCUAGAUAGGAUAUGAGUUCGACUAGGGUUUCUGAAACUGAAUUGUUCUUUAUAUAUUCGAAUUCCAGCUCAAUACCGAGGAAGUUCGAGACUCGGGAUCAGUGUUGAAGAAGAGCAGCGCUGAACCUGCAUUCAAAAGGCCUCGAAUUGAAACACCAUCGCCAUUACCAACUUUUAAGGUAAAAUAUAGAUUCAAUGAAGGUUUUUAUUAGAGAGAGCUUCAAUCCUUCCCUUUGUAAUAAUUAUGAAUUGUUUUUCUUGAAAGAAACGGAUGACAAGUUGUAGCUUUGUUAUCAGGUCCGUAAAGAGAAGCUAGGGGACCGAAUCACUGCACUCCAGCAAUUGGUUUCCCCUUUCGGAAAGGUAAGUUUUUGGAUUUUUCCUUUGCUUUUUCAUAGAAGAAUUUUCAAAAUCUUUUCAAUAUGAAUUAGUAAAUGCAUAAUUGGGCUAAUUUGAUUCAUAUGCUUGUUCCAGACUGAUACUGCAUCAGUUCUCCAUGAGGCUAUCGAGUACAUCAAGUUCCUCCAUGAUCAAGUCAGUGUAGGUUCCACUAUCAUCUUGUUGUUGAAACAGUUAAUCAAUUGAUGGGAAAACCCUAGCUGGUAGACAUGGAUGUGUUGACUAGCCUAAUAUAUUUAUUCUCUUUUCUGGGUUUGAUUUCAGGUUUUAAGCACUCCAUAUAUGAAAAAUGGGGCUCCCAUUCAACCACAACAGGUACAAUAGUUUUCUACUAUUCUUCAGUCAGUACAAGCAGUCGUACCAAAGGAAACAAGCAUAAUUUUACUUUAGGAUUCCACUUCUCAGAAUAACUUAGGAAGCAUUUAUCCAUUUUGCAGACUUCUGAAAAACUGAAGGACACAGAAGGGUCCAAACAAGACCUAAGGAGCCGAGGACUUUGCUUGGUGCCAAUUUCGAGCACCUUCCCAGUUGCUAACGAGACUACAGCUGAUUAUUGGACACCAACAUUUGGAGGAACUUUUAGGUAAAGAGAGAGAGAAGCCAUCUCCACAAGAAUUAUGGUAUCAAACGUCCCCAGCCAAGUUGGGAAUGAUAACUUCAAUUUACAAAGAGGAUGAAGAUAAUGUAAGCUAGAAGAGCCACAUUGCUGUGCUGUGCUGUGCUGUGCUGGUGUUGAGAAAAAGCUUAAAAAAAAUACACAAAGAAAAAGAGAAAGGAAAGGAAGUGACCCAUCAAGGAAGGACAGGCAAUGCUGGGCCAGAUACAAGCAGAAUGAUGUAGGCUACCAAAUGAUUAGGGACCAUUGGAGUAGAAUAUAUUGCUGUAAUAAUUCAAGUAUUAUAAUUAAAUGCGGGUUAGGAACAGGAACAGGUGCUAAAUUUAGCGGAAAUUCAGAUUAGUUUAGAGGUGCUUUGUUGUUAAAGGAGCUGAAUUUAGCAGAACUGGAUAAAGGGGCUUUUGUUCCUGUUUCUGUAUGUUGUAUAGGACUGGCACAUCCUUUUAUUUAUGUAAAGGAAAAGAAAGUAAAGGCAAAGAAAAAUAAAGGGUGAGAUCAUUGAAUUGAAGAAUACAAGUGAACAAUGAGUUUGUGGAGGUCAUUUGAUUGGGGUUGUAGCUUUUCAUUUGUUUAUUGGUUUGGAAUGUGGUAGUGGAAGUCAGAGACUCAGAGGCGGCCCACUCUUCCUGCUUUUUGGGUUUCUGCUUAUUGUUUUAUGCCUUUACACUUAAUUUUCAAUUGCAUGCGCGCGUCCACUUGUGUGAGCGCGUUUCAAACUCUAAUACUCCAAAACGGCAUUCUCGUUUCUGUGCUGUGGUCACCCUGUGGUGAAGAAAGAUAACCCAACCUCAUGUCUCUUUCCCACAUCGACAGUUUAUGUUUCUGCGCAGCUUACUCUUUGAAUUGCUUGUCUAUUUGCAAAAUCAGAGAUACUUAUAUAUAUAUGAGAUUGUUCCAAAGACCAACUCUCGGAGACGGUUCUCCAAUUACAUGAUCUGCCGUGAGUCUUUUUAUAAGCCCUCUACGCCAUUCCAGACCCAGUCUUGAAUGCCAGGCGGUUUUUAGGGAACUCAAGGUACCUCCUUUUAUUGAUUUUUAGUGGAUCACACCUUUGUUGAAGUUCUUCACCACCUUUGUGAAGUCAUUGGCAAUUAAUACCGUAAAUACAUUGAUAUUAAUUUCACUACAAUGAACUGAAAAUCAAAGUUUAAAAACCCAAGAGUUUGAUCGAAAAUUUUCCUUUUGAGUGCCGCUUUAAUUGUUUUCAUGUAAUCAUGGAGAAUUCUAAGAUAUCAAUUUAGUAUUUUAUCAACAUAUAGAGAAAAUGAGAUUUAAACUGCUGAAAAAACUUUUGUUACUUGUGAAAAACACAACUAAUUUUGGGUGGUCACAAAUCCUUCCCAAGCCAAUGUGUGAAGUUGUUUUCGGUUCCACCAAUUGAUAGUCCACAGCAAUGAAUACAUAUAUCUGCACUAUUCUUUUAAUUGGAGAUUAUAAUAUACUUAUAUAUAUAAAUGUAUAAAUCAUCUAACAUACAAUGCCAUGGUUGUUACUAUUUGAAGCCAUUAUUGUAAUAUGCCUUUAUGUCUUCAUAAAUGAUUUUCCUUGCAACAUACUGAACAUGAACACAUGUUUUGUUUGCAAUUAAUUCUUUACAGUAAACGGUGCUUAUUUCUAUUCAUAUGAUUGCAAGUUGCGUCUAGUUUGAGCAAAAAAACAAAAACUAAAAAGUUUUCCUGCAAGGUUCCUUUUAAGCAGAAAUGACUAGUGAAAUAUCAAAAAUUAUAGAGCAUAGACAUGGAGAAUCAGUUGUUGGAAGUCAAGGUCUCAUGGAUGUCUAUAUAUGGAGAAUGCAUCUCAAUUCAACUCAACAGUAAAAAUGACUUCUGAAUAUCAAAAUCGAACAUAGACAUGGAGAAUCAGUGAAUAUGAAAUCAUAAAGGAAGUCUUUGUUUUAAGUUAAUCACUUUGAGAUGCCCCCCUACAUCUAUCCAAGAUAUGAGCAAUAAGAUAAUGAAGAUUAAUCCCAUAAAUAAAGCAACAUCACACAUUUGCAAGGAGCAUGUAAAGAGCAGCAAUGAAUUAUGAAAGAAACAGAAACAAAGCUUAAUAUUGAAGAAUCCCAGUGACAAGUGACUAAUCAUGAAAAAGUACUUUAAAUAGUUAAAAAUCAUAUUGAUUGGUAUCUCUUGGGCACCCAGCUUUAUCAUCUUUUGGUGACUUUUGAAUUGAUCGUCUGAUGGGUAUUAUACCAUUACUUGAAGCAUCGGGAUCAGUACCUCUUGCUCUCGAGUACAGUCCAUGAGGAAUUUAAUUCUUAUAGUUUUUGUAAGGUAUGGUUUGUUAAUAUAAAGGAGACGGACGAAACAUAAAAAGGAAUACAGAAAAGGAAAAGCAUCUUGGCAUCAUUGUGAUGCUAAUAAAGUAUACAGACCUUCAGCAGUUACAAUCUCACUUUAAUGGCAGACUUUCUUUUUUCAUUUUUCGGCUAAUCAAUGGCGUACUCUAUAUAUAUACACUUUUGUCUUCUGCUACAAGUUUAUUUAUUUAUUUUUCUUUAUUUUUUUUUUCUGUGUUAAAAGGGUUAUUUCUUUCUGCCACCACCUUUGAAUCUAAUCUUCUGGGCCGUGCAUUGACAAACCAUGACAUGUGGCUUCAUCCCUUUUGGAGAUGAUUGAUGUAUCAGUGUAGAUUCUUCAAUGGUUGUGAUGCCAAGCACCCUUGCAUACUGGCUUCCCAAAAUAUUAUAUACCUUCUCUCAUAGUACCCCUGGGAUGGGAUGCUCUCUGAUGUGAUGUUUCUUUGCUAGCAUAAAUAUACUCUCCCAACAGUCUUCAAGUUUUUCAAAAUCAAAGAUAUUUUGCUUGUUUUCAUAUUCAAGAAUGCUGUACGGAACCUUACAGUAACGAAAAUGAAAAAGGAAUAAUCCAUAUGUCAUGUCUACUUCUUCCGGUGCAAUUAUUUUGUGAAAUGGCUGACUUGGUGCUUGUAAACGUGCUACUUGUGAACAAAUGGAGCUGGGAUUGUUAGGUAUGUUGCCUAAAGGGUGAGACAGAAGGUACAAGUCAAGCUUUGGUUCCAAUGCCUGAUUGCUAAUUACACAGGUCGGAUGAUCAAAUUGGGCAACAACAGUGUACGAUGUGGGAUUCAACUCUUUCUGAAGGACCUAGUCUUAGGUUCGGUGCCUGAUUAGUAAUCCCUUCUGGUGAAAGGUGAGGGCCAAGUAGAAUAGGUUUCCCCAACUUUGAAAUGGAUUAGAGUAGAUCUAUGAUCUAUCCAAGAGAUUGCAAACCCAACAGAUGGUGGCCUGAAACUGAGAAAAUUACUUUUUGCACACAUGUAAGAUGUCGUCGUGAUUGGGACAUUCUCUCUCUCUCUCUCUCUCUCUCGAUGAGAUCACAUAGAUCACUCUUGGAGAUUUUCUUGUAAAAACCCUUCUUGUAUGUAAAUAUGUUUAUAAAUGGGUAACCACAUCUUUCACUACAACUGUCAACAGUACUAGUUUUACCAUGCCAUUAUCUAUAUAGAUAAGUGAUACGCAUUAAUUAGGAACGGCCCAUCUGUAUUUUCNNNNNNNNNNNNNNNNNNNNNNNNNNNNNNNNNNNNNNNNNNNNNNNNNNNNNNNNNNNNNNNNNNNNNNNNNNNNNNNNNNNNNNNNNNNNNNNNNNNNAUUUAAUUUAAAAUUUAAAAUUAAUUUAAUUUAAUUUUUAUUUUAUUAUUUUUAAUAUAUAGAUAAUAAUAAAAUUAUUUUUAAUAAAAUAAGUUAUAAAAAAUAUAAUUAUUUAAUUAUUUAUAAAAUAUAUUUAUUUUAAUAUAAUUAAAAAAAUUUAAAAGUAAUUUUUUAAAAAAAUUAAAAUUAAAAUUAAAUAAAAAGCUAAACGGGGCGGGUAUGAGAAUGUAGCAUACCCGCCCCGCCCCGCCCCGUUUAAUUUUUUAAAUGGGACGGGGAUGGGAAUUGAUUUAAAUAAACGGGGCGGGGUUGGGAGGGGGGCGCCCCGCCCCGAACCCGCCCCGUUGCCAUCCCUAGAAGGUACAAGUCAAGCUUUGGUUCCAAUGCCUGAUUGCUAAUUACACAGGUCGGAUGAUCGAAUUGGGCAACAACAGUGUACGAUGUGGGAUUCAACUCUUUCUGAAGGACCUAGUCUUAGGUUCGGUGCUUGAUUAGUAAUCCCUUCUGGUGAAAGGUGAGGGCCAAGUAGAAUAGGUUUCCCCAAUUUUGAAAUGGAUUAGAGUAGAUCUAUGAUCUAUCCAAGAGAUUGCAAACCCAACAGAUGGUGGCCUGAAACUGAGAAAAUUACUUUUUGCACAUAUGUAAGAUGUCGUCGUGACUGGGACAUUCUCUCUCUCUCUCUCUCUUUCUCUCUCUCGAUGAGGAGAUCACAUAGAUCACUCUUGGAGAUUCACUUGUAAAAACCCUUCUUGUAUGUAAAUAUGUUUAUAAAUGGGUAACCACAUCUUUCACUACAACUGUCAACAGUACUAGUUUUACCAUGCCAUUAUCUAUAUAUAUAAGUGAUACGCAUUAAUUAGGAACAGCCCAUCUGUAUUUUCAGUUUCUUUUAUUCGAAUUUUCCAUGCCUCUCUUCUUGGGACCGCAUUUUGAUACACAAGUGACACUGGAGAGAGAGUAUUCCCUCUAUUGAUUAGGGCCACCAAGACAAGCUCCGGACCUGUUUGAGCAAGAUUCCAAACCCAGCCCUAUCUCAACAAUGUUUGGGCCAACAUAUAACCAGUCCCAUUGCCGGCUAUAACAAUAUAGCAAUGUAUUCUUUGAUUUUGACAUUUUAUGCUAUUGCUGAAUGCCUGCUUGACAUUGAGGUUUCUCGAGAAAAAAGACCCAUAAGAUGGGCACAACAGAUUUUUCAAUGUGUAAUCAAUCAAAAUCAAAACAACUCAAGAGGUGAAUUAUCAGGAAGAUUUUUUCUAAACCCUUUUCAAAUUGCUUUUAUAUUUCAAUCACACUACAGCUAGUAGGUGUCCCCACAGUGUUUCAUUAUCUUUACAGACCAUCUGAUGAAAUUGGAAAUCUGGAUCUCAAUUAGUCCUUUGCCAGUUCUCCCGCUUGAAAUACAGAGUGUGCAAACAAACUGCAUAGCAAGAGAACAAGCCUUGUGGAUAGACUCAAACUAGACACUUGGGUGACGCCUUAUUCCUAACCAACAAACCAAGCAAAUCAAGGAGAACUAGACAUAAGAGUAUGCAAACUUUAUCAUUAAUAGAAGCCACUGUAUUGUAGAAACUUGGUGAGUUCUACAUUGGAGAUGUAUUCAUUUUAACACGCCAAAGUGCAUAUUAUUAUUGCGAGAAAAUGAAAGUUUGGGGACUGAAACACUAAAACAAAAUACAUGCAGUAUGGUAGACGAAGGUGUAGUUGAAUGGUGAGACAAAAUCAUGCAGUUCCUUUGAGCUUCUUGGUGAUGCCAGCAAUGUACAUCCCCUGGUGAAAAGCUUGCGCCAACUCUAUCUCAGAAGGCUGUCUUGAGCCGUCCCCAGCGUAAGUUCCUGCACCAUAGGGGGAACCACCCUUCACCUGCUCUAUCUCAAACAUGCCAGCUCCAAAUGUAUAUCCAAUUGGAACAAAGAUCAUGCCAUGGUGAACAAGCUGGGUGAUGGCUGUCAAACUGCACACAGUUUCCACAAGUGAGAAAAAUCUUCUGCACUGUAAUUAGCCGAUGAGAAAAAAAGAAGCAAAGAUGCCUAAUAAAGAAAGCCUUAGGAAUUGGGGGAUUUGAGAAAAGGGAGCUUACGGAGUAGUCUCUUGUCCACCUCCUUGAGACCCAGUGCUAUAGAAAAGGCCUGCAGGCUUGCCUGCAAGCUGCUGUGUUCUCCAUAGCGCUCCAGUUGCAUCCAAGAAUGCUUUAAAUUGACCAGCCAUCAUUCCAAAUCUAGUGGGGAAACCAAAGAUAAACCCGUCGGCCUCAGAAAGUUCAUUUGGUUUAAUAACUGGUACAUCACUCUUAGGUGGUGCCCCCAUCAGCCCAAGAACAUCCUCAGGGAGUGUUUCAGGUACCUGCUUGCAGAUUGAGGAACAAGUGAAUGCAUGUUAAACCACAUAUUCCAAUCAGAAGCAUAUGAUCAACAAAUUGUGUAAAAUUUUGAAAAUCCCAUGAAAAUAGCAAUCCUGUUUUCCAUUUUUUCUUUUGUUUUAGAUAAUACAAUACAUUUUUAAAACACAGUUGCCAAAUAAGGUCUUACAUUCUCAAAAGUCAACAUAGAGUAGAUAUUUUGGUAUGCAAUUGGCAAGUCAUACUGAAAAAAUGGUAGACCUCAAAAUUUUUAACACGACCCACCCAAAUAAAUGCCAGGUUACCUCAAAAUUUUAUACUCAGAAAAAAAAUUACUAAUUACAAUUCUUUCAGACUUAUAGAUGUGUUAUAUGCAAGUUAAAAAGGGAAUUUAUGCUUUACAACUGUUUAAAAGAAUAAGUAAUUAACUUAAAAAAACCACCCACCUGCCAUAGUUUCACUUCUACCCCUUCCACAGAUUCAGCUCCUUUCUUUAUCUCUUGAGCAAGCUUUUCAACAUGUCCAUACAUUGAAUAGUAACUGUGCAGAAUUAAAUAGUUUCAUAUUAUAUUAUAAAGAUGUACUAACACAAAUGAAGACAUUGACCCAUAAAAUUAGGGCUGAUGAAUUGUCAAUGCAGAGAAAUGGGUGCAUAAUGGAUCCAUGGGUUAUAAAGAAUUCUGUGCCAGGAAAAAAAUAAGUGGAAUAAAAGAAACGUAGUGCAAUCAACAAGAUCCAAGAUUUUGAAUAUUUUAAGAAUUUCAAGUUUUGUGCACAUUAGAGAUUCUACUAAGAACUAAUUUCAGUCAUGAUGAAUGUGAGGUCCACCAUCCAAAAGAUAAUGAAUAUAGAAACCACAUAAGUUAAAAUAACUUUACUUAAGAUCAAAAAAGAAGUAUGACUUCCUUUUUCCCAGUUUUCCUGACAAUGGAAAACAUGAUAUGGAUGAAGAAAGGGAUCCCUUAAUAAUCAAACAGAACCAAUAAAUACACUGCAUAUGUUGGGUCACAUGGUACGAUGACCACAACUCUACUGAUUUACCAGAGCUAAUGGGUCUUCUGCAGAAUAUGACUUGAUCCCCCUUUCUUCUUCUCCUUUUUUACGACUAUCCAUUUCUAAGAACAAUAUAAAAGAUAUAAGCCUCAUUGCAAAUCCAGGCCCCAAUUACAAUUGGGCGAAUGGGUUCAAACUUACAUGAAAUAGUUUUGGCUUUUUUUUUUCUUCUCAAAAAUCUUAAUGGAAACUGAAUCUGGUACUGCAAUUGAGAAAAUUACAAGUGAAAAAGUGUAAGCAUUAACAUUGCAGAUAAGUGAAAAUGCAGAUCCCACCCCACCCAUUAACCCACCUACAAACAAGGCCAGUCUACCAAAAUUCUUGAUCAUAAUUUAUGAUUUUGCAACCCAACAGUCCACCAGGAAGCAUUCAUGUAAUCUCUAUGUUCACAUGGCUGAGAAGAAAAAUCAGAAGAGCACAACAUCUAUUGCAGUUUAAAGUAGAGAUUCAAAUCGCAGAAACAACACCCAGAAAGAUGAAACAGAGAUCAUAAUCAUAAAAUGACGGAAUAACAAAUAUCAAAUCAAAUCAAGACCAUCAGAAGAUCAUAAAAGGAAUCAUAUACAUGCACAAAGAGAUCACGGAGAGAAGGAUAGAUGGUAAUGCUUACACGAUAUAGAGUUUGGCAGCCAUUAAUGGAGUAUCUGUUGCUCUCUCCACGCUUUGUCUCUCCUUUGUGCUUGUGGGUUUAAGCGAAAAGUUGAAAGGGAAAAUGAAAGUUGAUAAAUGAAGCACAGAGGAGGUGUCAUUUAUAGCGACUUCUCAGCCAAGCACCGGGCCGGGGCGUUUGAAAAUAAUUAUUCUUCCCUAAAAAGAAUAUCCAUAUCUAAUCCAGAAAGUCUUCAUACCUUAUUUUUUUUAUCAAUGAAAAGAAGGGACAAAUUUUCAAUUACGGAAACAUUUCAUUCCUUUCUUCUACUGAUGAUCAUCCUCAAAUUCAAUCAGCUUUCACCUUUUAGCCUGUAAUAUCAAUAGUUCAAAAUUGCAAAUGAUCAUUUUCGAGGACAUCAAAUAGAAUUGGAGUACUAUUCUGUAGGAAAAAUAUAUUAUGACUCUGGAAAAGUCAUCUGAUAUUGAUGGUUCUUUCUAUGAUGAAGACAAUGCAUUAAAAUAUACGAACUGUCAACUGUUUCUGGGUAUGCUUAUGGGGAAAUUAUCCAAUCUGCAAAUGUGAUCGGUGGAAUCACAUGCAUGCAGGCGGCUGAAAAAGACUGCCAAGGAAAAUUUGCUCAUUUUUUGGGUUGUUUGGAAUUUUAUUUAGACACGCUUCAUAUAGAAAAAUUAACUUGUAUCAAUUUGGACACUAGUGUUUUUUUUUUUUUUUUUUCUAAUUAAUUAAGGUUAUGAUGUGUGCAAUAUGUCUGCAUGACACAAUGUCAUGAAAAGGGAAAUUGAUUAGUGGAUGGAUAAGCUUUCAUUUCCAUAUUAUUUCUUGUAGUCUCAAAAGAUCAUCCUCUUUCUCAUUUCGCUUUUAUAUAUACUAGGAAGUUUUAACGUGCCAUGCACAUGAGCUAAUACAAAAAAAAUCCAAUAAAAAAAAAGAAUAUGUGAAUUUAUUCUUUUAAAAUAUUUAUAGAAAACUAAUGAAAAAGAGAUUCAAAGUAAAAAAAAUUGAAUUAGACAUAAAACAAAACAGAAAAAAAAAUUAUUAGGCUGAAAUAUAAAUAUAAAAAAAAUUAUGAAUUAGACAUAAAACAAAAUGGGAAAAAAAUUAUUAAGCUGAAAAAAAAAAUGACUUGGAUGGAAUAUAAAUAAAGUUACACUUUUCCAUAUCAAAAUUUUAGAUAGUAAAAUUAUUUUUAAAAUUAUUUUUUUCGAAGUUAAGCAAAAUAAAUAUUACAUUAGUCCUUAGCAAUACCAAAUUUUAUUUAUUUUACAAAAAGUAUAUGAAUAUUAAAAGAAAUACAAAUUAGAUUAAUUAUCCAAACAUAUUUUUUUCUUACAUACUUUCCUUGUCAAUUUCUUUUAAUUUUAUCAAUUUAUUUACACAAAAAAACUAUAUGAUAUUGGAUUGUAAUACAAAAUCAUAGUAAAAAGAAAUCAUUAACAAAUAAAAAAUAGAAAUAUCUUAUUAAGAAUAAAAAUUUGAUCUCCCAAAUACGCUUGGUAUUCCAUUUUCAAAUCAUUAAAUAUAGUUAUUUAAAAUUUCCUUAAUAAUAGUGGUUGGUAUUUAAAAAAAUAAAAUAAAUAAAGAUUGUGAAAAAAAAUCUAGUAAUUCCAAAAUGAAGAUUUAGCUAAACUAAAAAUGAAAAAAAAAACUCUUAAAAAAACACUUAAUUUCAAUUAAAAUAAAUAACUAUAUUAUUCUUAUUAUAAGAUUUAAGUUGUGAAUAUUAGUUAAAAAGAAAAUUAAAAGAAAUAAAAUAAGAAAAAUUAAAAACAUUUGUAGAAAUACUAAAUUUAUAGCAUAAUUAAGAAUCUCCAAUUCCUAUAGACAUUGUAUUAUAAAAUAAAGAAGUUUUCAAUUAUUAUGGAUAUUGGAUUAUAAAACAAAGAACUAUAGUUUCCGAUUCGUAUAAACAUUGGAUUAUAAAAUAAAGAAAUGAAUUUCUUUCUAGAAUAAUAAUUUAUAUUAAAAAAAAUGAAAGAUUUUAUUGCUUAAAGAGUUCUCAUCAUUCUAAAAUUAACAUUCAAUUAAAAGUAUUUACAAAAAUACUAAAAUUAUAAAAUAAGUAGCAAACUUCAAUUCCCAAAAAAGUUGGAUUAUAAAAUAAAGAAUUAGAAUUUAUUAAAAAAAAAUGUAUACAUGAAUACUAAAUUGGAUUAGCUCUCAAAUUUACCACACACCUAGGGUUCCAAUCUUUCUCUGAUAAACAUAUAAGCAAAAUCAUCAAGAACACUAAAUGACAACACUAAUUAACCUAAUUGUGUUCUAAAAAACCCCAUUGAGUGCUAAAAAUUGUCAACUCCAUAAACACAAUUCCUUCUUUAAACAAAUAGGGGAUAAACAACAAUCUCCUUUCACCAAUAUGCGUGUUAUGGUUACUUAGUCCCUAAAACACAAAAGAAAAGCAUAGUUGAAUAUGGAGUAUCACCACUUGUUGAACCAAUCCUCCAAAUUACUUUUGUGAAACUCAAUAAAAGUUUAUUCGCAAGUAGGGACUGACAAUGAUUUCACUNNNNNNNNNNNNNNNNNNNNNNNNNNNNNNNNNNNNNNNNNNNNNNNNNNNNNNNNNNNNNNNNNNNNNNNNNNNNNNNNNNNNNNNNNNNNNNNNNNNNNNNNNNNNNNNNNNNNNNNNNNNNNNNNNNNNNNNNNNNNNNNNNNNNNNNNNNNNNNNNNNNNNNNNNNNNNNNNNNNNNNNNNNNNNNNNNNNNNNNNNNNNNNNNNNNNNNNNNNNNNNAUGAUGACCAUCUCAGCUAGCAUCACUCCUCACCCGAACUAAGAGUACUGAAAAAUUUUCAACAAUUGGGAAUGAGCUCACAGCCCAAUAAGGAAAAUUAAUGCAAUUCAUGGAUCAAAUAUUUUCAUUUCAAAUAGGAGAUAUCAUUUUUUUUUUCUCAUCAAAUAUCAGAGUUUCAAAAAUACCAAUAUAUUCAAAAUUCAACCAACCAUUUUCAGAUUAAAUUCAAACACUUUCACAUAAGAUUCAAUCAAAUCCAUUCAAUUUUCAUUACUCUGGUUAUCAAAUAUCAAAUGCCCAGUUAGGUGGGACUUUUCAAAUGGGUGGCUAGCCUCAAAUUGUUCCUGGUGGACGGAACCAAACACUACUAGUACUAGUAACCUCUAACCAAACCCCUAGAGGCUGGGGUCCAAAUCAAUUACAUUCUCACCAUGAAAUGUAAAGGUCAACUAUUAUAUCCCGUUGACAGGGCCGAAUAGUCAACUAUUAUAUCCCAUUGACAAGGGCCAAAUAAACUAGAGUGAUGUUUUUUUUUGUUCAAGUAUUCAAAUUUACACAACAUAAUAUCUCCAUAUUUUGUGUCAUAAAUAAAACAAAAUAUUCCAACAUAACAUUUAGUGCAAAACAAUUUGAUCCAUGCAUGGUAACAAAAUAUCAUUUUAUUUUCCACAAUUCAAAAUAACAUAUAAAAGAAUUUAAUUUUAUAAAUAUUACAUUAACUUCCCUUACCUCAAAAGAAGUCCUUGAAAGCUUGGGAAAAGAAUAAUUCUGAAAAAAAUAUAAUCUACUCUUCACCUAAUAUACAUAAGAGAAACAAUUAUUACUAUUUAUUUAUAAUUUAACUAAUCUAUUCCUUAUUUAAAUAAAACUAAUAAAUUCUCAAUUUGUUUCUAAUAACACAUUACUAAUUUAAUUAAAUUAUAACUUUAUUUCAUUAUAAAAUUCUAUAUAUAUUACUAAAUCUCUCAUUUUAUUUAUUAUAAAAAUACCAUUAUUACUAUUAUCUUAUUUAUUAAUCUAAAACUAAAUAUCAUUUUUUUUUUAUUAUCCAAUUCAAUAGCUACCUAACCAUUACUCAUUCUCGGGUACACCAAACCAAACCAAAAAGCAAGUUUUUUUUUUUUUUUUUUUUGCCAUCAUCAUGAUUCAUUAUAUAUAUAUAUAUAUACUCCUUCCAUUUGGCUUCCAGCACAGUACACGUACGCCCCCCAUUUUUUUUUUUCCUUCCUUCCUUCCAGUGUUGUGCACACGCGUUUUUUUUUUUUUUUUUUUUAAUUAACCCUAACCUAAAAUCGAAAUAUUCCAAGGAUUUUUUUUUUUUUUAAUAAAACUUAAGAUCUCCCAAAUUCCAAUACUAAAAAAAAAAUAUUAAAUUUUCACUAUUUGAUAUUAAAACGAAUUAAAAAAAAUAAUCUAACCCUAAUCUAGAUUUGGGGUUUUCCAAAAAAAAUAUAUCUAAUGUGUUUGAAAUUAAUCAAUGAAUCUAAAAUAUUAUACUAGGGGUUAGAAUCUUACCUAUAGAGAUCUGUUCUUCAACCCUGGAAUCUGACUCCAACCUUACGUUCUCUGGAAUUCUGCGAACAGGAACUCUAUUCAGAAAAGAAGGGAAAUAAUAAAAUUUCUAAUUUAUACCUAGGGUAUUAAUCGUAAAAUUACUCUUUUACCCUUUUUUUUUAAAUUAAUUAAUUAACUAAUUUAAUUAUUAAUAACAAUUUCCUAAAUUACCCUUAAAAGAAAAUGCUUGGGCGUUACAUCCUCCCCUCCUUAACAAAAGUUUAGUCCUCUAAACUUGACAUACCUGAGUCUUGAAAUAAUUGAGGAUGCUUUUCUCUCAUCUCUUCUUCUAACUCCCAAGUGGCCUCUCGGAUACUAUGAUUGCUCCACUGGACCUUUACCAACUUGACAACAGCAUGUCGUAGUAUCUUAUCCAUCACAUCCACAAUUUGAACGGGUACCUCUUCAUAGGUCAAGUCCUCAAAAAUUUGAAUAGGCUCCAACUCCACAACAUGAGAAGGAUCAUAAAUAUACUUCCUUAGAAUCGAAACAUGAAACACAUUAUGAACCUUAGACAGGCUUGGGGGUAAGGCUACUUUAUAUGCCAAAGUGCCUAUUCUUUCUAAUAUUUCAAACGGACCCACAAAACGAGGACUAAGUUUUCCUUUUCUCCCAAAUCUCAUCACAGACUUCAUAGGUGAAACUUUCAAGAACACAUGAUCACCCACCUCAAACUCCAAAUCUCGCCUACGAUGAUCANNNNNNNNNNNNNNNNNNNNNNNNNNNNNNNNNNNNNNNNNNNNNNNNNNNNNNNNNNNNNNNNNNNNNNNNNNNNNNNNNNNNNNNNNNNNNNNNNNNNCUAAUGGAAAAAAAUGCAUCAUUUCUUGCCACGUGUUGAAGGUUUCUAGAAAUUUACAGAAGGCGAUGAGUUAUGAUUGCUCUCAUUCGCUUCCCUCUUUAAUGUGGUACCUCUCCGCUUUCUUAUUAUUUCUUUUUCUCCUUUUUUAAACAUUUUUGGUUAUCCAUCGACUUUCCUUAUUUACACCCUUCUCUUUCUCUUUUAUCAUGUUAUUUAGUUUGGCUUUAGAGAACUGCUUCACUCAAGGAGUUUUCUUCUUCAUCUUUGCAAGUAGUGAUUUGUUGUUCAAUCUUCCUUGUUUGGUGAGUAAGUUUCUUGACGUUUCCUUUAAAUUUACUGUCUUGAUUUCAGUAGAUUUUUUUUUUUUUUUUUCUAGUUUGCUUUCCACUAGUUUUCCUUCUUGUAUUUCCCUACGUUCUUUGCGUCUCCUUGGAAAGCUUUUUCUUUCCAUUCAUAGUAUUAUUUCCUCAAGGGAUUUUUUGGGGGUCGGCUCUACGUUUUCUUAGUGGCUAAAUUGAUGUCUUUUGUAUAAGUGUCUUAGCUUGUCCCUUGAAAAAAAAUGUCACGAUCAAAUUUUGGUUGUUCAUCUAGUUUUACUUAGACUGAAGGGGAAGUGAUGGAGCCUACUGGGGACUAUGUCGCAUCCCACAGCCUAGAGGAAAGUCCACAUGAUUUAAGUAGUGACGGGUUAAGUCAUGGAAUAACCUUGGCCCAGGUAUGAGAACUUGAUUUUUGAUGUUCAUACUCCAUUCUUGAAGAUGUAGGUAUUCACUUCCCUAGUGAUCCUUUGGAGGUUCAUGAUACUACCCAAGUGUGGGAGCCAAAUGAUUUGAUGUAUUGGCCUUGUGAUCACCUUGCGGUGGGGCUUGGUGCAUCAGUUUCUAUACUGAAAAUGCUAAAAAAUCUUCAUAAAUAAUUGAAAAUUUUGGUUCUACCAUUUCUGGAUUCAAAGGAGGUUUCUUCAUGCAGAAAUGAGUUUCAGGGUUUUUGAGAGAGUUUUUUCAAGGGGGAGCCGACCUCUCUUUGGUUGGGGAGGAGCUACAUAUAUGCUCCUCCUACAUGAAGCUUCGGGAGAGUUUCUUCCCUCUUUCUUCCAUAUGUUUGACUAUCUUUUUUAGUAUCUAGCCAACUCAUUGCUGACCUUGACCACCAGCGGCCAAAAAAGUGGUUGUAGAUUUGCUUUUAAUGGUAGGUAGGAAAGCGGAUUGGUGUUAAUUGAAGGUUAUAUCUUGUAGAGGACCUUAAUCAUAGGUACAUUUUGGGAUGUUUAUUUUUGGCAAGAUCAUAUACUAUACUCGAAUACAUCUCGGACAUGUGCACUUGAACAUUAUUCACAUUCUAGUUGGUGUUUCCAUCCUUUAACUUUAUUCAUGAGUUACACUUGGGCUUAGAGGAGGUCUGUUUUAUUUAUCCUUUAAAAUUGUCUGCUUGGGGAAGUUCUCUCUCCGUUGAUACUCAUUCCUUACAACUAGUGGUCGGGUUGCCUACCACCAGCAAAGGGGCGACUUGUGGUAACGUCAUAGUGUUGGGAAAUUGGGGUUGUAACCUAGGAGGAUCUUCACAGGAGUUCCCCUUAAACGGGUCCUUUUGUAAAUCUGGUACAGUUUGAUUUUGCCCGUUUCUCUCUACGAUUUGUUCCCUUCAACUUCUCCCUUCCUGUUUUCUUUUUCCUUUUUCUUUCUACAAACUUUCCUGUUGUCAUUCAAACAAGUCUCAGUGAACGGGGUAGACGAGUUGAAUGGCUUCCACCAGAGGGUUUUGAUAAGGUUAACUUCAUGCUUCACCUUAGCGAAAAGGAAAUUAAGAUAUUACCAAUCACUUCUGUCAUCAUCCCGAUUGAAGGCGAUUUUGAUGAACCUAGUGCAUUUUCGUAUUCAACAAAUACCCCGUCUUCUCUUUGGACAGGUAUAACCCCCCAGCUUCAUCUUGGCUAUAUAGACAUUAAACAAGCUGAAACGGUUGCUCGUGAGCGGGAACGGGCCGAAGAUUAAAGGGUUCUGGUUACCGCAGCAAGUGAAGUGAAUCAGACCGUGGUUAACUACGUUACUUCCUCUUUGUCAGUUAAGAAUUCUCUCGUGAUCAAUAUUGACUGAGACGAGUGAGGGUGCAACAAUGAGUUCUUCCGGACGUCCCUUUGGUGAAUACUGUCAGUGGUCUGUCUCGCGGCUCCAAGAAGAUAAGCAAACGGUUUCGAGCAUUUUCUGAUUCUGUGGGGCCUUCUUUUAAACGCCCUGCUCGUUAGCCUUCACUUCUCCCACGAGAUGAUCGGCCCAUAAUUCCUCGAUCGACUGCUCCUCCUGUGAAUAGGGAACCAUGCCCAGUUAUGCCCCCGCAACCACUGUUGACAACUGGGGGGUGUUUUUUAGAAGGGUACAUCUUUUUUCAAAAAAGAUGUUCCACCAUUUUUCACUCACUGAUUUGAUGCCUAUACCUCAUUCUGUGGCAUCGUCUUCACUGCAGCCGUCUUUAAUGCUUGUUCCAGACGAUCUAGACGAGCGUAAUACUCGUGUUAUAGAAUUGCUUUUUCACCUUCUUUUUCCUUGGUUUGUGUUACUUCGUUACUCUGUUUUCUUUUCAUUUAGUUUUACCUUCUUUUUAUUACUCCUAUCUUUUUGUUUGUGCGCAAAUUUAGUAUCGUCGAAGGAUUUAUAUUGCCACUAUCAAAUGAUGUGGGACAAGCUAAAGGACCACACAACUAAGGGAUAUUGCUCUGGCCAUGUGUCAGCACCCGUACCUUGACCUGGACACUAUGGCCACUAAGGGUAUCAUGGGUGGGCACCUUGCACCCAUGAGGGCAGCCUUGAGGGAAGAAAUAAGGUGAAAGUGGGUUUGUGGCAUCAGAUCGGCAAAAGGACUGCAGCACUUGGGCAGUACAAGGAGUCGUGUGCACACUAGCCGCAGGCAAAGGCAGCACAAGGGUAGUUCUCGAGCUGUCCCCUUCAAAAUGGAGCUGGGAUUGUUAGGUAUGUUGCCUAAAGCUUGCGACAGAAGGCACAAGUCAAGCUUUGGUUUCAAUGCCAGAUUGCUAAUUAAACAGGUUGGAUGAUCCAAUUGGGCAACAGCAGUGUACAAUGUGGGAUUCAACUCUUUCUGAAGGACUUAGUCUUGGUUUCAGUGCUGAUUAGUAGUCCCUUGUGAUGAAAGGUGAAGGCCGUGUAGAAUAGGUUUCUCCAACUUCGAUAUGGAUUAGAGCAGAUCUAUGAUCUAUCCAAGAGAUUGCAAACCCAACAGAUAAAAGGAGAAUGAAAAAGGUGGCCUGAAACUGAGAAAAAUACUUUCUGCACAUAUGUAAGUUAUUGUCAUGACUGGGACAUUCUCUCUCUCUCUCUCUCUCGAUGAGAUCACAUGGAUCACUCUUGGAGAUAUUCUCUUGUAAAAAUCCUUUUCGUAUGUAAAUAUGUUUACAAAUGGGUAACCACGUCUUUCACUAUAUAGAUAUGUGAUAUGGAUUAAUUGGGAACAGUCCAUCUGUAUUUUCAGUUUCUUUAAUUCGAAUUUUCCACGCCUUUGUUCUUGGGACCACAUCUUGAUACACAAGUGACACUGGAGAGAGAUCUUAUUCCCUCUAUUGAUUAGGGCAAACAACACAAGCUCCCAACCUGUUUGAGCGAGACUCCAAACCCAGCCCUGUCUCAACAAUGUUUGGGCCAACAUAUAACCAGUCCCAUUGUCGGCUAUAACAAAAUUGCAACGUAUUAUUUGAUUUUAACAUUUAUUGCUAUUGCUGAAUGCCUGCUUGGCAGGAAUCCCCACAGUGAACAAAUGGAAGUGGUUCAUUAUGUUUAUACACCUUCUGAUGAAAUUGGAAAUCUGGGUCUCAAUUAGUCCAUUGCCAAUUUCCCUGCUUGAAAAACAGAGUGCAAACAAACUGCAUAGCAACAGAACAAGCCUUGUGGAUAGACUGAAACUAGACACUUCUGUGACGCCUUAUUCCUAACCAACUACCAAGCAAAUCGAGGAGAACUAGAUAUAAGAGUGUGCAAACCUCAUCAUUAAUAGAAGCCACUGUAUUGUAGAAACUUGGUGAGUUCUACAUUGGAGAUGUCUUCAAUUUAACACGCCAAAGUGCAUAUUAUUAUUGCGAGAAAAUGAAAGUUUGGGGACUGAAACACUAAAACAAAAUAAAUGCAGUGUGGUAGACGAAGAUGCAGUUGAAUGGUGAGACGAAAUCAUGCAGUUCCUUUGAGCUUCUUGGUGAUGCCAGCAGUGUACAUCCCCUGGUGGAAAGCUUGCGCCAACUCUAUCUCAGUAGGCUGUCUUGAGCCGUCCCCAGCGUAAGUUCCUGCACCAUAGGGGGAACCACCCUUCACCUGCUCUAUCUCAAACAUGCCAGCUCCAAAUGUAUAUCCAAUGGGAACAAAGAUCAUGCCAUGGUGAACAAGCUGGGUGAUGGCUGUCAAACUGCACACAGUUUCCACAAGUGAGAAAAUUCUUCUGCACUGUAUUUAGCAGAUGAGAGAAAAGAAACAAAGAUGCCUAAUAAAGGAGGCCUUAGGAAUUGGGGGAUUUGUGAAAAGGGAGCUUACGGAGUAGUCUCUUGUCCACCUCCUUGAGACCCAGUGCUAUAGAAAAGGCCUGCAGGCUUGCCUGCAAGCUGCUGUGUUCUCCAUAGCGCUCCAGUUGCAUCCAAGAAUGCUUUAAAUUGACCAGCCAUCAUUCCAAAUCUAGUGGGGAAACCAAAGAUAAACCCAUCGGCCUCAGAAAGUUCAGCAGGUGUAAUAACUGGUACAUCACUCUUAGGCGGUGCCCCCAUCAGCCCAAGAACAUCCUCAGGGAGUGUUUCAGGUACCUGCUUGCCGAUUGAGGAACAAGUGAAUCCAUAUUAAAUCACACUCCAAUCAGAAGCAUAUGAUGAACAAAAUGUGUAAAAUUUUGAAAAUCCCCACUUUAAUGCAUGAAAAUAGCAGUUGUAUCUAACACUUAGAAUGAUGGCAUUGGUAUCCUAUUAAGCAGAGAGACCAACUUCGAUACUUCAACAAAUAUAUUGAUUUGUUGCAAAUCAAAUUGAGACCAAGAACAAAAAUUUAAACUGUUUUAAAAAACAAUUCCAUAAAAAUAGUUUUUGAAAAUUGUUCUUUAAUGAUCUACAUAACAUAAAUUUGAUUGGAAGUUUUUAAAUAUAUUUUAAAAACAAUUUUUAUAUGUAGUAAUUUAUAUUUAAUCAUUCUUCAUAUUUAUAUAAUUAUUUUUUAAAAUAAUCCUUUAAAAACAUGUAAAAACAACUAGAAACAAAUAAAAAAAAUAAAUAUUCUCUUAUAAAAAUAAGAUAUUUUAUAUUUUUAAGAACAAAAAAUUGUUUUAUAUUUUUAUUAUAAUAAAUUUUUUAACACCACCCACCCAAAUAAAUGCCCUAUGUUAUCUUAAAAUUUUGUACUUACAAAAACAAAUUACUGAUUACAAUUCUUUCAGAUUUAUAGAUGAAUUAAUGCCAGCAAAACAUGAUUCAAUUGAAAAAAAGGAAUUUAUGCUUCAAAACUGUUUAAAAGAAUAAAUAAUGAACUUAAGAAAACCACCCACCUGCCAUAGUUUCACUUCUACCCCUUCCACAGAUUCAGCUCCUUUCUUUAUCUCUUGAGCAAGCUUUUCAACAUGUCCAUACGUUGAAUAGUAACUGUGCAGAAUUAAAUAGUUUAAUAUUAUAUUAUGAAGAUAUAGUAACACAAGUGAAGACACUGACUCAUAAAAUUAGGCCCUUAAUAUUAUAUUAUGAAGUUGUAGUAACACAAGUGAAGACAUUGACCCAUAAAAUUAAGGCUGAUGAAGUGGAUGAAAUUUAUAUAGUGAAUGCAUAGAAAUGGGUGCAUAGUAGAUCCAUGAGUUAUAAAGAAUUCUGUGCCAGGAAAAGAAGUGGGAUAGAAGAAAUGUAGUGCAAUUAACAAGAUCCAAGAUUUUGAAUAUUUUAAGAACUUUAAGUUUUGUGCACAUUAGAGAUUCUACUAAGAACUAAUUUCAGUCAUGAUGAAUGUGAGGCCCACCCUACAAAAGAAAUGGAAUAUAGAAACCACAUGAGUUCAAAAAACUUUACUUAGGAUCUAAAAAGAAGUAUGACUUCCUUUUUCCCAGUUUGGGAAAACAUAAUAUCGACGAAGAAAAGGGAUCCCUCAAUAAUCACACAGAACCAAUGAAUACACUGCAUAUGUUAAAGUCACAUGGUACAACGACCACAACUCUACUGAUUUACCAGAGAUAAUGGAUCUUCUGCAGAACAUGACUUGAUCCCCCUUUCUUCUUCUCCUUUUUUCCAACAACUAUCCAUUUAUAAGAACAAUAUGAAAGAGAUAAGCCUUCAUUGCACAUCCAGGCCCCCAGUGCAAUUGGGCGAAUGGUUUCAGACUACAUGAAUUAGUUUUUGUUUUUAUUCUCAAAAAUCUUAAGGGAAACUGAAUCUGGUACUGCAAUUGAGAAAAUUAGAAGUGAAAAAGACUAAACAUUGCCAUUGCAGAUAAGUGAAAAUGCAGAUCCAACCCCACCCAUAAACAAGGCCAUUGCACCAAAUUCUUGAACAUGAUUUAUGAUUUUGCUACCCAACAGUCCACCAGGAAGCAUUCAUGUAAUCUCUAUGUUCACAUGGCUGAGAAGAAAAAUCAGAACAACACUAUAUCUAUUGCAGUGUAAAGUAGAGAUACAAAUCACAGAAACAACACCCAGAAAGAUGAAACAGAGAUNNNNNNNNNNNNNNNNNNNNNNNNNNNNNNNNNNNNNNNNNNNNNNNNNNNNNNNNNNNNNNNNNNNNNNNNNNNNNNNNNNNNNNNNNNNNNNNNNNNNCCUAUUUCGCUUCCUUGGCUGUUCCCUAUACUGAUGAAGCUCCUCAUUUUCUUUCUCUGCUAUAAGGGCUCUGUCAACAACCUCUGAAUAGACACCAAGCUUCAGAAUAGAUAUCUUGUUCUUCAAAUAAGGCUUCAAUCCAUCCUGAAACUUUAAUGCCUUUUCCUCCUCUGUAGCAAUCAAUUGUGGGGAAAAACGUGAUAACUCUGUAAAUUUGGCCUCAUACUGAGCCACAGUCAUAUCCCCCUGUUCUAAACGAAUAAACACUCCCACCUUCUGCCGCCUAACACUGUCAGGGAAAUACUUCUUGUAGAAAGCCUCCCUAAAUUGUCUCCAUGUUAUGGGUCCCUGAUCCUCCAAAAGUCUCCUAGUCAUACGCCACCAAUGAUCUGCCUCUUUAUCUAACAUAAAAGCUGCAUAAGAGGCUUUUUGCUCCUCAGAGCAAUCUAUGACACCAAAGAAUUUCUCCAUCUUAAGGAUCCAAGCCUCUGCCUCUGUGGGAUCUGUAGCACCAGAAAAGUAAGGAGGACCCAAUUUCUUGAAGUCAUCAAAAGAGCUACCCCUAGAAGAUGAAGACUGUCCCUAAACAUUAGUCCCAACAGCUCGAGCUUGGCGUUCAACUAAACCAGCUAGUGUCCCAAGAUACCUAUAGAUCCCUUCUGCACUCACGGGAGGCAAACCCUCAAUUGGAGGUACAUCAUCAUUAGCCUGACUGUUUUGGGAAGAUGCAGGUCUCCUUGGUGGCAUGGUGUCCUAUAAAGCAAUAGGUGUAACUAAAUUAGUCACUAAAAAGUCAAAUAAGUAAAUCAGAAUUGUAAGGAAUAAAAGGAAUCAGACUAGAUGAAGUUGAAACUUAAACUAAUACGUCACUCAUCUAUUCCCAAAGGUACACUAAACAAGUUCCCAUCAAGAUCACAACCUAGUGCUCUGAUACCACUCUGUCACGCCCCAAGACCCACUCCAAGGGCGUGACGGUCAUUUCACACCUCAAACCCGAAGGCUUAAAGUAUAAUCUGACCCAAACAGUCAUAAUGUAACUGGAUGUUACCAAUUACCAAAUACCUGCUCAAAGUAGCGGAAACAAAAUCUAAAAUCCUCAAAAUUCAAUUUCCAAAUAACUUCCAAAUACCAAAUGAUCCAAAAUAACAUAACUAAUAGUUAAACAAAAUCCAACAUAAAAUCCUAAGUCAAAUCCUAAUGAUGACCAUUCCUCAGCCUAGCCAUCACUCCUCACCCGAACUAAGAGNNNNNNNNNNNNNNNNNNNNNNNNNNNNNNNNNNNNNNNNNNNNNNNNNNNNNNNNNNNNNNNNNNNNNNNNNNNNNNNNNNNNNNNNNNNNNNNNNNNNAUGCAUCAAAAUGUAUGAAGGGUCAACUGUUUCUGGGUAUGUUUAUGAGGAAAAUUAUCCAAUCUGCAAGUGUCACCGGUGGAAUAAUAUGCAUGCAGGCGGCUGAAAAAGACUGUGAAGGAAAAUUUGUUUAUUUUUUGGACGGUUUGGAAUUUUAUUUAGACACGUUUCAUAUAGAAAAAUUAACUUCAUAAGUUUGGACAUGAUUUUUUAAACUUUUUUUUAAUGUUAUGAUGUGUGCAAUAUGUCUGCAUGACACAAUGUCAUGAAAAAGGAAAUUGAUUAGUGGAUUGAUCAGCUUUCAUUUCCAUAUUAUUUGUUCAUUAGAAGGAAACCAUUAACCUUAAAAGGCAAAAUAUUUUCUCUUUUUUUGGUCCUUUUUUCUUUCUUCUUGGAAAAGGCUUGCCAUAACAUGAAAAAAGAAAAAAACAGUACUGUUUGUAGUGGGGCCAUUGAUAAUUGAAAUCCUCAAAUGUGGUUUAUGACAUGUAGAAUAUUAGGCGUGAUUUGGGUAUUAAUGCCAUUAAGCUUAUGAGUUGGGUUUCAAUAAUUUUAUGGGUUGCAAUGAAGACUUUGGGCAAUGGAAGAGGUGAUAGUGAGAGUGAGAGGGAGGGCACAUGGGUAAUGCGGGGGGUUUUAAUUAGAACUUGUCCUUGUCUGUGUCUUGCAGAGGAAUCUAAACAUGGGAAUUGGCAUCAAUGCCUUUGUCUAGAAGCGUGCUUCUCUUCUUAAUUCCCUCUAAAUUUCAUCCCAUUUACGCUUACAAGCAAUGAUUUUGUUGCUUUAAAACAUGGGGUCACUUAAUUUUUUUCAAAAUGGCCAAUGCAUUGAGAUUUUGGGUAAGCUGGUCCAAGUGCAUUUGCAAGGUGGUAAAUGGACCUAAAAUUGGUUAAAUCCUUGGCCACCAUCUCUUCCUGUUGGCAUAUCUAAGAGUGGGAAAGCAUUGGAGAUUUUUGUCCCCAAUUUGUGAUGCCUGCGUGCUUUUGCGACUAGAAGAUUGUAGAUCUGGUGGCCACCUAGCCAUCCACUUUGAAAAAAAACAAGCAAACAAACCCACCCCCCCAAGUGCCUCUGGAGAAAGGCUUGAUUCUUGCUCUGACUGGUUCAGAAAUGAUGGGCUGCUCCUGCAGGAAAACUUGGGUCAAAUAGUACUGGUUGCAUGCUUACAGAGAAAAGUACCGAGCACAAUUUGGUCAUCUUCUGUUCAUUGCAAGUUUUCCGGUCAUCUUUGGAGCAUGGCUACAGAAUUUUAUUUCUUUCGUAUAGAAAAGCUAGGCCCUCAUUAAACGACAUGUUUGACAAUUUUAUUUUCUAGUAAAUUUAAAAAAGUUAAAAAUUUGAAAAUGCAUUUUGAAAAUUAGAAAAUAUUUUCUAAAAAUUUAAAUACAUGAAAGUGAAAUGAAUCACCUUAAAUACUUUGUGAAACUUACAAAUUAAAAGGAACAUAAAUAUUUUAAAUAAAAAAUGAAUAUGAGCGUAACUACGAACAAUGGAUAGAUGACCUAUAUAAGUAUUUUAUUUUGUUUUUUAAGACUAUGUAAUAAGUAAAUAUAUUUUUAUAUUAGAUAUUCACUUAUUUUAGUGGAUUAAUUUAUAUGUAUCAAAAUAUUUUAUUGUAUUGUUUUAAAUAAAACUUUCCAAAUAAAAUGAAUAAAUGUUACAUAAUAAUAUCAUAUGAGUAUACAAAAUAGUAUAUCUCAUAACAUAUGGCAUAUAGAAGUCCAAAAGAUCUCCAAUUCUUUUUGCUAGUUAGGGCAUUUAUCGGUUCUAAUAAAUGUCUCAGAAAGACUUGACCUAGAAGUUUAUCAUUUACUGGAUAGAUAGAUAUUGAAUAAAGCCUUUUGUGAUCUUCCUCUAGCCAAAAUUGUGUCCCUUGUGGUUCAGUAGCUUCCACACCAUAGGAAACAACUACUCCCUAAGUUUAAGUAUCUUGAGUCCCUUUACUAUUUUGAGGUCCUUAUUGAUCUUGAUCUUAUAGAAAUUGAGGGGGUUUUGUUGCCAUGCAAAAAUAGUGGAAUAGGACUAAAAGGUACAUCUCCACUACAUGUUUUGUUUAAUUCUUCUUGUAAUUUUAAAGAGGUUUUUAUCUUUUCUUUGCCUUUUGGAAAUAAUUGAUGCAACACUCUCCUUGCUUAAGAUAUAUCUCCACAAUAUGUUUUGAGACUCCUAAAUUCUUGUAAAAUGCGAUUGUGAGCUCGAUAGUAAGCACGGUAUCUACAUUGGUCUUUCUUUGAUGUAUCAUCAAUUUAUUAUGGUGGCUAACAAAAAAUCAAACAAUUCAUAUAAUUCUUGAAAAAAUAAUGAGUUGAGGUCAUUUAGCUUGGUGAACACAACUUCAAAAAUAUCUCCCUUACAAUCUAGCUUUUUGUUUUGUGCUUCCCUUUUAUCUCGCAAAUCACUUGUUUGGCUAUGACACAUCCUCAUUUCCUAGGUGUUUUUUGCUCUCAUAGCAUAUCAUAAUGAGAACUUGGGUGCUACAACAUCUUCUUUGAGACUAGCAUAUUUGUAUGCUCUAGUGAAGAUUGCUUCCAUGCUACUUAUUUUAUUAUAUGUAUAUUGUGAAAAAAGUCUAAUUUGUCUAAAGAAAACACCCAAGAGAGGGAGGAGGAAGGGAGCAUAUUGGGUUUUUCAAAACUUUUUCGAAAAUAAUUCUUAAUAAAAAAUAAUAGAAGAAAGAAAAUAAAGAUAUAAGAGUAAAGAGAAAGUAAACACAAAUUUUAUAAUAGUUCAGUCAAUUUCGUCCACGUCCACUCUCCUCAAACUCCUUCCAAGUGAGAGUUCCACUAGUUUGAAACUUCAACCAAACUUUCAAAUGCUUACAAUUGAAUUUUUGACUCUAAUGGAUACUACAACUUCUCUUUAAGGAUAUCCUUAACUUGAAGCACUACCACUCAAUUUCUUACUUUAAUAAAAAUGUGAAUGAAAACCAUACAUAUAAAUACAAGAAAGGUAGAAUGAACAACAAAGGUAUACUAGGAUGAUAUGCAAAUAGGAGUUUAAUGCAUCAAAAGAUAAAUGAAAACUUUAAAUGUGAGAAACAAGUUGGUAAAGUGUUCAAUAAGUAUUCUUUUAUCUCAUAAAUAAAAAUUUUGACCUGUGGUUUCAUGGCUCAUUGUCAUCUUUGGAGUGAGCAAAAAUGUAGUCCGAAGUCAUUUGAAUUAUUAAAUAAGUUACGAAAGGAUAUUCUACUACAUGAUACGUUUGUAUUAUAUAAAAUUUAGUUAUGUUUAUUUUUAAUGAUAUCCGAUGAACAAAAACUCAAUAUCAAACAAGAUUUUAUUAAUUUUAUUUUUUAAAAGAUUGUAUUAAUUAAAUGCAUUCUCAAAGAAAAAGAAAUGAAAUAAACACUAAUGUUAGAACAUGAAAAUAAAAAAUAAAAUAUAAAUAACCUUUUUCGAAUUCAAUGCAAUUUUACGAUACGAUUAAUUUAAUUUGUCAUUAAUAUAAUAAGUUUAGUUUGUCGGUAGUUUAAUUAUGAAGUGAAUAUCUUUAUACACAGGAUGGAUCAUUUACCGAUAUCCUUAAGUUUGCAGACAUGGGGAACGGGUACAUUGGAAAGGUAUUUUCACAUCAUCCUAUUAUCCUAAAUUCCUAACAGCAGCAAUAUUCUAGGCAUCACCCUUGUGCGAUGAAAGGAGACUCGACCAGUCGCACCCCUUUCUUCAAGCAAUUCCCAGACUUUUCUCGUCCAUUUCUUUCCAUUAGAAGUACAUUAAUAAUAAGAUGGUGGUAAUCACACACACUCACUAUCUCACAGGAGAAAUGGAUUUUGGUCCACACUCCACAGAAGGGGAUGGUCUAUAGGCCCCUCUAUCAUCAUACCAAAGGCAUUGCGUGCUUGGGAGGGGAGACCAAAUGUCUCCCCAGAUCUUUCUUUUCAAGACCCUCCUAUUGGAGAAGUGCCACUUCACCUUCUCCACCUCAAUCAUGGCCUGGGUGUUUGUUGGCCUUUGAGAGGAUAGCAUUAUGAGGACUUUCUUCUUCCUGUUGGUUUCACCACUACUCUUUUCCACUGUAUUUUCUGUCCACAUCUUCUCCUCCUUUUUCUAAAGAAUUGAGAGUGUUGGUCAGCCACCCACACCGUCCCAGUCAAGGGGUUGAUUGUUGGGACCACCACUCUUUCUUCGCAAUGUGGAAGAUCUCAUCAUUUCAAUCAUCCGCUAAUCAGGGAUAUUUCUAAAUUCCAAUUUUUUAUCUUGCAUUCUUGGUUUCAGUCUCUUUACUCUUUUAGCCUUUUGUUUUUACACGCGGUAUUCAGAACCAGCUAAUUUGGAAAUCAUCAAACACUCCAAAUGACAGAAUAGAGAGUAAAAUUCUAGUAGUUUGAAUGUGCAAGCUUAAACCUUUUCUUAGAGUUGACUAGGGCUUGUUAGUAUGAAAAACUACUUGAUGGGCAUGCAUCCAGAACUAGGUCUCAUCAGCAGUUCAACCAGCAACCGAUUCAGAGGAUUGGAAUAUCUUGACCAUUCUACUAGCAAACUCCAAACACAACUAUGCAUAUCCAUAAUCAAUCAUGUACAUGAAUCAAUGAUAAUUGAACAUAUGGAUGGUGUGCAUGUGAAUAAAUUUAACAAAGGCACAAGCAAACUUCUGUCAAGGACAAUGUAUGAACAUCUUCAUCAAAGACGUAACUCAUUUCCUAACUUGGAUCCAUCCCCACCACGAGUUUCCCAAAGUUAUUUGGUUCUCCCAGAAAAUAUUACUUUCCUUCUUUCCACAAUAUUCAUUCAGAAAGCAACAAAUAGUCAAAUACAACUUGACAAUAAAGAUAUCUUAUUACUAAUAUUAUAUAAGGAGAAUCCAUCAAACCUAGUUUUAAUAUCGAUAACAUCAAUGUUAUAGGAAAGUAGCCAGCAGCCUUCCAUAUAUUCUUUUUUUUUUUUUGGCCAAGUCAAAUGUUGUUUGGUACUAGCCAGUCUACCUACACCAGCACCCUUUUUUUUGGUCAAAAUAUUUCAAGUGUUCACUUCUUCCAGUGGCAGAGAAUCAAAAUAUAAAGAACCAUUCUCCAAAGAAGGCCAGAGGGACAGACCCUAGAUUUCCAAGUUAGACAAACCUAACAUUUCCACCAGUGUAUCCACCUCAGCAACUAUGCCUCCUUAAUGAUAGAUUAAGGCAUACACAUUCAGGAACCAACAAGGAAGAAAACACCAAUGGAUUAUGGAUUAUGACAUGUAUCUCCAAUACAAUGCAUAGCAAAACAUCAAAAGAGUUUCAUCUCAGGUACAUGCUCUGUGCAGGAUAUCUUCUAACAUGCUGAAUUCCAGAAAUUGACAAAUGAAUGAAACUGACAUUUCAAGACCCUGGACGUUUUAUACCCUCAUGUUGGGGAAAGGACUGUAGCUACUUCAGCAGUAAUUCAACAGUAGGCAUUCUUACAAGGCAAAGGAUGUAAUUAGAUGAACAUUUUAAAUCCAACUUUCUAUCUUGAUUGUGAUACAAAUUCACACACAAAAAGUCACUGGACUUGGGCACACUCACUACUAAAUAAACAUUUAGGAAACGGAAUCCAAAAUCUUCCAUCUGCUAAAUAUGGGGGAAUCCUACAGUGACUAGAAAAUGAGUUAGUUUUUAAUGACAAGCAAGUGGACAGAGAAUCAAUCAGAUAAGCAACGGUUUCCCCCAUACAAGUGAAAAGCAACAAUCAGCAAGGAAUCUAGGCAUCAUAGUAAAAAGUUCUUGUAAUCCAAUCACAUCAUUAACUUGUUCAAGUAUUGUAUAUGAGAAGGUAAGCACUAGGAAAAUGUUGGAAACAAGAACAAGUAAUAAACCAUGAAGCAACCAGGGAUAUAUGCAAAAAGAAAGUGCAAAAUCAAAAUCUUCUGUGCCUAUCAACAAAAAAAGAAAAGAAAAAAGUUUUGUGCACAAUAGAGAUUUCCACAAAAUUUGGAAAAAAUAAAAAUAAAAGCUAAAAGAGAUGAUUAGGACACUAGAUUAUAAAACCCAAGUACAACAAAGAAACACAUUCUCUCUCUCUCUCUCUCUCUCUCACACACACACACACACACACACACAAGGCAAAUAAUAAAAAAGGAGCAAAAAGAGGCACCGUAAGAUGAGCUUGCAACACAGGAAUGAGAAUUUUUUUAGCAGGCUUGCAACCUAGGAAUGAGAAUGGAUGCUGCCAUUUAUUAUUCUUGUAUUUAGAUGCAUCAGAAAUCAGAGAGUCACAUUAACUUCCCACUCCCAAGUUUGGAAAUGAAGGAAUGGAACAAAAGAUCAAGUUUCUCCAGCUUCUCUGGGUUUAACAAAAAAUUUAACCCAAAUUCCAAAAUUGGUCCAACUUCCAUUUCCAUGGUGGGCAGUAGCAGGAUGGAAUAAAAGAUUUAAGUUGUUCCCUCUUUCUUUAGGUUUGACAAAAACCUAAUGCAAACCCCAAAAUCUUUCCAACCACAACUGGCAACUGAGUUGGAAACCCCAACCAAAAUAUAAACCAAGCAACACCAACUCUCAGUAUCCAAGAGAUGUACAAGAACCCUAUUUGAAAUACCCAAAUCUGUUCAAAUGUGUGUAACUAAAUCAGAAAUUCCAACAAAAAUUAACUUAGGCACAAAGAACACACUUACCCUAAGACCAUACUCAACAAGGGAGUGAUGCAAAGAGAGAGAGAGGGUGAGUGAAACUGAACUAAUGAGAUAGAGGGAAGUGACGAGAGAUGCCCUCAUUUUUGUUUGCAAGAGGAACUUGAAUGCAGUUUCAACUUAUACAGGGAAUUUGACAUUUUUUUUUUCAAUUACCAACCCAAAUGAGAAUGAGAUGCUCACUUUUCAAUGCUACAAGGGGAUGAAUUCUCAUAAUCAUUCUGGAUCAUGUUACCUAUGUGAACCUUAUAAUGGGAUAGCAAGGGACAGGAACUGCAUUCCACAUUCCACUGCCACCAAACAAACAAGAAUCUCUGAACUGCAAUUUAAGUAACGAUGAUUGUUGCACUACACUAGAGAAAAAAAUGGGGGCAAGGUUUCUUAACAGUCCAUGACCUUGAAGUGGGUUGAUAGAAGGAAUGAUGGAAUGAAAGUUCCAAAUUUGGGACAAAACCAUUAUCUCUGCCUCUAGAUUAAAUUCCAUUAUCCACUAAAAGAAUACUCUUUCUCCUAGCCUAGCCAGCAUUUUAACGAAGUUCAAGAAAAUUACUAAAUCUCUAAAAAAGAGGCUUCUAUCUCUAACAUCUCAUAAAUAAAUUACAAAAUAACAAAAAAAAACCUUCUCAUCAAAUUUUUUUUUCUAAACCUUCUUAUUUACCUAUCAAAAAAAGAAAAAAAAGAAAGAAAAAAAAAUUACAAAAUAACAAAGACUUCCAAUAACCUCAAUUCAUCCUUCUCAUCAAAUUCCUCUGACAUAAACCUUGUGUAGCAAACUACCGCAGUCUUCAUAAAAGCCUAACAUUCCAUAUGAUAUUCAGAUAUUAUUCCCAGAUCAUGCAUGAUGCUAAAAUAUCAAUAAAGUUACAUAAAAGUAUGAUAUUGACUACUAAGAUCAAAGCAUUGUGUGUCCAAGUUAAUAUACAUUUAAGCAGCUUUUGAAGAAAGGAAACAAUUUACUUGGUUAAUAAUGGGUGCAAAUAUUACACAACAAAGUUAUCACUUAGAUGUAUCUAUACUGGUAUAAAUUCAAUAACCUCAGACAAAAUCCAAGUAGCAAUAUUCAACCACCUAGGAGAGCUUCAGGUCCGGCUCAAAUGUCAAUGGGUUGAGACGGGGAUGAGGUAGGCCCUAGUUUGAUUCCAUAUACCAAAUAGGGGAAAAAACAUUAGCUAUAAAAAAGAUAGACAUUGAAUCACCCAAGAAAAGAAAAGAAGCUGAUUUGUAGCAGCGCUUAACUUAGGAACACAGAGAGAACUAUGAGAGGCAAGUUUUAUCCCAUGCUGGAACUCAGCAGGAAGGUGUGGCACCAAUUACAGGGCCCAAUAAAAAAUAGGAACGAAGACAGGUCAACUUGUACUAUCCCAGAUGAUUUUUUUUUUUUUUUUUUUGAUAAGUAAGCACAAAUUGUAUUGUACUAUCCCAGAUGAUAGCCAUUAUAAAACACUAAACCAUACAUAGAAGGCUUGGAAAUGAACAAACUUCGACAGUGUUGCUUGUACUUUCCUAAUUCUAACUUCUUAGAUAAAAUGUUUGUGAAGGAAAAGAAGCAACCAGCUUCAUUAAAAAUUUUAAUUUAGUUUCUUCAUUCCUCCUGAUAGCAUAAUCUAUCACAACUGCAUUGAAGCUUAUUUAUAAGUGAAUCAUUCAAAUGGAAAACUACUAGGCAAUGCUGUGAAGAUAAGAUAUGCUUGAAAACAGGGAAAAUUUGUGAAUCGAGAAGAAUUAUCAUUUACAAAGCAAAAUUGAAACUUUCCAAAAAGAAGAGAGCUCAUAUAUGUCAUUUUUAUUUGAAAUGUACAAUACAAAAAAGCCACAUGCCCACCAAAAUCUAACCUUUUUUUUUUUCUUUUGUACAUGAAUUAUCCAAAAUAGGAGAACCAAUCAACAACACCCAACUCACCUCCACAAAGGACCAAGUGGCGUCACAGAAAAACAUAUCUCUUGCACACUUCAUCUCCCUCAAACUCUUCCACAGUUAAUGUUUUCCCUGCAGAGUCUGAACCAAACUUGAAGCAUUUCUCCUAACCUUCUCAUUAUCAUCCUCUACCAAGCCCAUACAAAUCUCUAAGACCCCUUCUUUCAUCGUCUCCAAACACAUCCCAUCCCCAUUGCUACACAGCGAAUUCAGAGUCAUCAGUGCAUACUGUACACCCCGCGAGCUUCCAUUUCUCAAAACACGCACCAAAAUCNNNN
This 37448-nucleotide long non-coding RNA is filed under the name Vitis vinifera (wine grape). Its description in RNAcentral is "long non-coding RNA (VVIN_LNC007477)". The record is from RNAcentral. Lineage: Eukaryota; Viridiplantae; Streptophyta; Magnoliopsida; Vitales; Vitaceae.